RNAcentral lists this ribosomal RNA (405 nucleotides) under uncultured bacterium. Its description in RNAcentral is "partial 16S ribosomal RNA". It matches the Rfam family "Bacterial small subunit ribosomal RNA", at positions 29 to 526 of the family's 1533-position model. The record is from RNAcentral.
AAUGAACGCUGGCGGCGUGCCUAAUACAUGCAAGUCGAGCGAAGCGGGGACGGGGAAGUAACACGUGGAUAAACUCCUAUAAGGCUGGGAUAACUUAGGGAAACCGGAGCUAUACGGGAGACUGAUAGAUGUAACCGCGAUGAAUUAGCUAGUUGGUAAGGUAACGGCUUACCAAGGCAACGAUGCAUAGCCGACCUGAGAGGGUGAUCGGCCACACUGGAACUGAGACACGGUCCAGACUCCUACGGGAGGCAGCAGGAGGGAAUCUUCCGCAAUGGGCGAGAGCCUGACGGAGCAACGCCGCGUGAGUGAUGAAGGUCUUCGGAUCGGAAAACUCUGUUAUUAGGGAAGCGGUACCUAAUCAGUAAGCCACGGCUAACUACGUGCCAGCAGCCGCGGUAAUUC